AGUGAACGCUGGCGGUAGGCCUAACACAUGCAAGUCGAACGGCAGCACAGUAAGAGCUUGCUCUUACGGGUGGCGAGUGGCGGACGGGUGAGGAAUACAUCGGAAUCUACUUUUUCGUGGGGGAUAACGUAGGGAAACUUACGCUAAUACCGCAUACGACCUACGGGUGAAAGCAGGGGAUCUUCGGACCUUGCGCGAUUGAAUGAGCCGAUGUCGGAUUAGCUAGUUGGCGGGGUAAAGGCCCACCAAGGCGACGAUCCGUAGCUGGUCUGAGGGGAUGAUCAGCCACACUGGAACUGAGACACGGUCCAGACUCCUACGGGAGGCAGCAGUGGGGAAUAUUGGAAAAUGGGCGCAAGCCUGAUCCAGCCAGACCGCGUGGGUGAAGAAGGCCUUCGGGUUGUAAAGCCCUUUUGUUGGGAAAGAAAAGCAGCAGGUUAAUACCCCGCUGUUCUGACGGUACCCAAAGAAUAAGCACCGGCUAACUUCGU
This 491-nucleotide ribosomal RNA is filed under the name uncultured bacterium. RNAcentral describes it as "partial 16S ribosomal RNA". It matches the Rfam family "Bacterial small subunit ribosomal RNA", at positions 29 to 506 of the family's 1533-position model. The record is from RNAcentral.